UAAACCUACAAUUGAUUGCUUCUAGAGUUU
This 30-nucleotide non-coding RNA is filed under the name Mus musculus (house mouse). The record is from RNAcentral. Lineage: Eukaryota; Metazoa; Chordata; Mammalia; Rodentia; Muridae.